RNAcentral lists this ribosomal RNA (430 nucleotides) under uncultured bacterium. RNAcentral describes it as "bacterial SSU rRNA". It matches the Rfam family "Bacterial small subunit ribosomal RNA", at positions 355 to 776 of the family's 1533-position model. The record is from RNAcentral.
UGGGGAAUUUUGGACAAUGGGGGAAACCCUGAUCCAGCAAUGCCGCGUGAGUGAGGAAGGCCUUCGGGUCGUAAAGCUCUGUCGGGUGGAAAGAAACGUAUAGGUGUUAAUAGCAUUUAUACUUGACGGUACCGCCAAAGGAAGCACCGGCUAACUCCGUGCCAGCAGCCGCGGUAAUACGGGGGGUGCAAGCGUUGUUCGGAAUCAUUGGGCGUAAAGAGCGUGUAGGCGGCUGGAUAAGUCAGAUGUGAAAGCCCUGGGCUCAACCCAGGAAGUGCAUUUGAAACUGUUCGGCUAGAGUAGGGGAGAGGGAAGUGGAAUUCCUGGUGUAGAGGUGAAAUUCGUAGAUAUCAGGAGGAACACCGGUGGCGAAGGCGACUUCCUGGCCCUAUACUGACGCUGAGACGCGAGAGCGUGGGGAGCAAACAGG